GCUCAGGACGAACGCUGGCGGCGCGCCUAACACAUGCAAGUCGAACGGAGCUUAGAGAGCUUGCUUUUUAAGCUUAGUGGCGAACGGGUGAGUAACGCGUGAGUAACCUGCCCUAGAGUGGGGGACAACAGUUGGAAACGACUGCUAAUACCGCAUAAGCCCACGGUGCCGCAUGACACUGAGGGAGAAGGAUUUAUUCGCUUUAGGAUGGACUCGCGUCCAAUUAGCUAGUUGGUGAGGUAACGGCCCACCAAGGCGACGAUUGGUAGCCGGACUGAGAGGUUGAACGGCCACAUUGGGACUGAGACACGGCCCAGACUCCUACGGGAGGCAGCAGUA
This 339-nucleotide ribosomal RNA is filed under the name uncultured bacterium. RNAcentral's name for it is "bacterial SSU rRNA". It matches the Rfam family "Bacterial small subunit ribosomal RNA", at positions 22 to 356 of the family's 1533-position model. The record is from RNAcentral.